RNAcentral lists this ribosomal RNA (343 nucleotides) under uncultured bacterium. Its description in RNAcentral is "bacterial SSU rRNA". It matches the Rfam family "Bacterial small subunit ribosomal RNA", at positions 376 to 730 of the family's 1533-position model. The record is from RNAcentral.
CCAGCGUGCGACCGUGCCUCGCCAGAUAGCCAGGUCCGCACUGAUCUCUUUAUCUGUCUUUCCCUGCGCUGCGAGCAAAAUCAUCUUGGCGCGCUCAGCCAGUCGAACCGGAAUCGUCCGGCCAGUAGCCGCGGUAAUACGUAGGUCCCGAGCGUUGUCCGGAUUUAUUGGGCGUAAAGCGAGCGCAGGCGGUUUGAUAAGUCUGAAGUUAAAGGCUGUGGCUCAACCAUAGUUCGCUUUGGAAACUGUCAAACUUGAGUGCAGAAGAGGAAAGUGGAAUUCCAUGUGUAGCGGUGAAAUGCGCAGAGAUAUGGAGGAACACCAGUGGCGAAGGCGACUUUCU